Molecule: long non-coding RNA, 590 nt
Filed under: Solanum tuberosum (potato)
Lineage: Eukaryota; Viridiplantae; Streptophyta; Magnoliopsida; Solanales; Solanaceae
Description: long non-coding RNA (STUB_LNC009297)
Source: RNAcentral
GGUAAUGUUCCUCUCUGGCCCUACUUAUCACUCCCAUAUUAAUUUUUAGUGUCAGAUCAUGGUCAUCGUACUCUUUUUUUAAAUUUUAUAAUAUAAUACUUGAAAUUAUUUGUCCCUAGUAAAGAAACUACAUGGGGCUGAAAAAAAAGAUAAAAUUAGUGAUAAGCCUCAAUUAUUGGACUUGUUCAUGUUUAUGUAUCAUCAUUGAUAACAUAUUGGAACUAACCUUGACUUUGGAAACUUGGUGUUUGCUGUGCAGACUGAUGAAAAUUGCAAGAAUCCUACAUGGGAAGCCAUUGGAUAUCAUCUUCCUGAGACAACAGAGACUCUAUCUGUAAACAAGAAAGAAAGACCACUUGAAAGGGGGAUUGUGGAAACCAUAAAUGAGAGUGAUGAAACUCUGAAAGAAUCUUUAUCUAAGAAAGGUGUAGCUAUAGCUGAGGAUACAAAAGACAACACCUUUAAGAUUAAAUGUGAUGUUUUGAUUGUUGGUUCUGGAUGUGGUGGAGGUGUUGCAGCUGGAAUCCUUGCGAAAUCAGGUUACAAAGUCGUCGUGCUAGAAAAAGGUCAUUACUUUGUGCCAGAAGAUU